This 871-nucleotide long non-coding RNA is filed under the name Marmota monax (woodchuck). The record is from RNAcentral. Lineage: Eukaryota; Metazoa; Chordata; Mammalia; Rodentia; Sciuridae.
UUUUUUUUGCUGGAGAAAUGGAUUGUGCAGCCUGGUUUAAACCAAACUGGACCCUUCCCAGAAUUCGAGGAUAUAUUAAGUGUCCUGGAAACCCAAGGGCUCUGUGGAAGGGAAGAGAUAGGAAUAUUUAAAAAUCUAGGUAUUGGUAAGGAGGAAGUAGGUAAUGAGUCUUGAAUUCAUAUGUUCAAAAGCAAAAAUAUUAAAGAGUUUCUGAGUUUCAACAUAAGACAGAAGGUAAGAAGUAGGUGUUGCCAGUGCCUUGAAGAAACAUGUCUUGAGAACUUUUCAGAAUUUAAAAGCAGAGGAGAGCUAGGAAUAAUGUCAUCAUGAGAACCAUGUGUGGUGCUGGUCUCCUUUAGGAACAUGGCAUUAAAAAGCAUCAAAAGCAUCUUCAGUUUGGGAAUCUGAAAAGAGAACUUCCUGAUGAAAUAAAGUAGAGAAAGGGAAACUCAUUUCUUUAGAAGAAAGCAUCUUAGUCAUAAGCAGACCUUCAAACAGAGAAGUGGCAGUAGCCACUAAAAUAGGAAACUGAAAAGUGACUGCCUGCCCUCAAGAUACAGCAAAGGUUUUCCCCACACAGAACUUGCCAUCGAUGUAGCGCUGAAGUACUAGGGAAAGCAGUCAUUAGAAUUCACAGGAUGAAGAAAGAAAGAAUUCUCAGCUUAAAGCCAGUGCUUGGGUUGGGUUUGCUGCAACUUUAGACCUUUGCCAGAAGGCUGUAAUAUCUCAAAUGUAUUCAGUAGGAACAGAGACAAUUUGUGUAGGGGGUUCUUCACUCCAGAUGCAUAGUGCCUCAAUGAAUAUCCCGUGGGAAGAUAAUUUCUGCCUAAGUUUAGAGACCAUGGAUUCUGGACCAUUGCAUAGACUUCCU